AAGUCGUAACAAGGUUUCCGUUGGUGAACCAGCGGAAGGAUCAUUACAGAGUUCAUGCCCUUCGGGGUAGACCUCCCACCCUGUUUAAAUACUCUUGUUGCUUUGGCGGGCAGCCCUCACCAUGGGGCGGCCGGUUAACCCCGCGUCCCGCCCGCCAAAAGCCCCCAACUCUGUGUUUUGUAACGUCUGAGUACUAUAUAAUAAGUUAAAACUUUCAACAACGGAUCUCUUGGUUCUG
RNAcentral lists this unclassified non-coding RNA (238 nucleotides) under air metagenome. Its description in RNAcentral is "partial contains small subunit ribosomal RNA, internal transcribed spacer 1, and 5.8S ribosomal RNA". The stretch from base 1 to 46 matches the Rfam family "Eukaryotic small subunit ribosomal RNA", at positions 1786 to 1831 of the family's 1831-position model. The record is from RNAcentral.